CACGUAGGGCGCAAGCGUUGUCCGGAAUUAUUGGGCGUAAAGAGCUCGUAGGCGGUCUGUUACGAUCUGCGUGUCGAAAACCCAGGGCUUAACCCUGGGCUUGCAGUGGAUACGGGCAGACUAGAGGCAGGUAGGGGAGAAUGGAAUUCCCGGUGUAGCGGUGAAAUGCGUAGAGAUCGGAAAGAACACCAACGGCGAAAGCACUCUGCUGGGCCGACACUGACACUGAGAGACGAAAGCUAGGGGAGCGAAUGGG
Molecule: ribosomal RNA, 256 nt
Filed under: uncultured bacterium
Lineage: Bacteria
Description: partial 16S ribosomal RNA
Rfam family: Bacterial small subunit ribosomal RNA
Source: RNAcentral